GCCCUCAUGGCUUAGUGGUAAAGCGUAUCACUAGUAUUCACCGAAUGCAAUGAUAAGAUCGCUAGUUCGAUUCUGGCUGAGGGCA
Non-coding RNA from Didymella exigua CBS 183.55, 85 nucleotides. The record is from the annotation of a RefSeq genome assembly. Lineage: Eukaryota; Fungi; Ascomycota; Dothideomycetes; Pleosporales; Didymellaceae.